Molecule: ribosomal RNA, 384 nt
Filed under: uncultured bacterium
Lineage: Bacteria
Description: bacterial SSU rRNA
Rfam family: Bacterial small subunit ribosomal RNA
Source: RNAcentral
AGCAGGGAUAACAUUUGGAAACAAAUGCUAAUACCGUAUAAUAAUUAAAACCGCAUGGUUUAGUUUAAAAGAUGGUCUUGCUAUCACUAAGAGAUGGUCCCGCGGUGUAUUAGUUAGUUGGUGAGGUAAUGGCUCACCAAGACAAUGAUACAUAGCCGAGUUGAGAGACUGACCGGCCACAAUGGGACUGAGACACGGCCCCAUACUCCUACGGGAGGCAGUAGUAGGGAAUCUUCCACAAUGGACGAAAGUCUGAUGGAGCAACGCCGCGUGUGUGAUGAAGGGUUUCGGCUCGUAAAACACUGUUGUAAGAGAAGAAUGACAUUGAGAGUAACUGUUCAAUGUGUGACGGUAUCUUACCAGAAAGGAACGGCUAAAUACGUG